RNAcentral lists this transfer RNA (63 nucleotides) under Trinodes hirtus. Its description in RNAcentral is "tRNA-Ser". The record is from RNAcentral. Lineage: Eukaryota; Metazoa; Arthropoda; Insecta; Coleoptera; Dermestidae.
AGUUUAUGAGCUUGAAUAAGCAUAUAUUUUGAAAAUAUAAGAUAGGAAAGUUCCUAUAAACUU